Molecule: ribosomal RNA, 497 nt
Filed under: uncultured bacterium
Lineage: Bacteria
Description: partial 16S ribosomal RNA
Rfam family: Bacterial small subunit ribosomal RNA
Source: RNAcentral
GACGAACGCUGGCGGCGUGCCUAAUACAUGCAAGUUGAGCGCUGAAGGUUGGUACUUGUACCAACUGGAUGAGCAGCGAACGGGUGAGUAACGCGUGGGGAAUCUGCCUUUGAGCAGGGGACAACAUUUGGAAACGAAUGCUAAUACCGCAUAAAAACUUUAAACACAAGUUUUAAGUUUGAAAGAUGCAAUUGCAUCACUCAAAGAUGAUCCCGCGUUGUAUUAGCUAGUUGGUGAGGUAAAGGCUCACCAAGGCGAUGAUACAUAGCCGACCUGAGAGGGUGAUCGGCCACAGUGGGACUGAGACACGGCCCAAACUCCUACGGGAGGCAGCAGUAGGGAAUCUUCGGCAAUGGACGAAAGUCUGACCGAGCAACGCCGCGUGAGUGAAGAAGGGUUUCGGAUCGUAAAACUCUGUUGGUAGAGAAGAACGUUGGUGAGAGUGGAAAGCUCACCAAGUGACGGUAACUACCCAGAAAGGGACGGCUAACUACGUG